This 489-nucleotide ribosomal RNA is filed under the name uncultured bacterium. RNAcentral describes it as "partial 16S ribosomal RNA". It matches the Rfam family "Bacterial small subunit ribosomal RNA", at positions 29 to 506 of the family's 1533-position model. The record is from RNAcentral.
AUUGAACGCUGGCGGCAUGCCUUACACAUGCAAGUCGAACGGCAUCGCGGGAAAGCUUGCUUUCCUGGCGGCGAGUGGCGAACGGGUGAGUAACACAUCGGAACGUACCGGCUAGUGGGGGAUAACCCGUCGAAAGACGGGCUAAUACCGCAUACGCUCUUCGGAGGAAAGCAGGGGACCUUUGGGCCUUGCGCUAGCCGAGCGGCCGAUGUCCGAUUAGCUAGUUGGUGGGGUAAAGGCCUACCAAGGCGACGAUCGGUAGCGGGUCUGAGAGGACGAUCCGCCACACUGGGACUGAGACACGGCCCAGACUCCUACGGGAGGCAGCAGUGGGGAAUCUUGGACAAUGGGGGCAACCCUGAUCCAGCAAUGCCGCGUGGGUGAAGAAGGCCUUCGGGUUGUAAAGCCCUUUCGGCAGGGAAGAAAUCGGCGGGGCGAAUAACCCUGCUGGAUGACGGUACCUGCAGAAGAAGCACCGGCUAACUACGU